AUUCAGGUAGUUUAAAUGAGAAACGUUAGUUUGUGGAGCUAGAAGUAUAGUUAUACUAUUCUGAGUA
This 67-nucleotide transfer RNA is filed under the name Xenophthalmus pinnotheroides. RNAcentral describes it as "tRNA-His". It matches the Rfam family "tRNA". From Rfam's summary of the family: Transfer RNA (tRNA) molecules are approximately 80 nucleotides in length. Their secondary structure includes four short double-helical elements and three loops (D, anti-codon, and T loops). Lineage: Eukaryota; Metazoa; Arthropoda; Malacostraca; Decapoda; Xenophthalmidae. The record is from RNAcentral.